CAGUCGCCGCGGUAACACAGAGGGUGCGAGCGUUAAUCGGAUUUACUGGGCGUAAAGCGUGCGUAGGCGGCUUCUUAAGUCGGAUGUGAAAUCCCUGAGCUUAACUUAGGAAUUGCAUUCGAUACUGGGAAGCUAGAGUAUGGGAGAGGAUGGUAGAAUUCCAGGUGUAGCGGUGAAAUGCGUAGAGAUCUGGAGGAAUACCGAUGGCGAAGGCAGCCAUCUGGCCUAAUACUGACGCUGAGGUACGAAAGCAUGGGGAGCAAACAGGAUUAGAUACCCCUGUAGUCCCUGUCUCUUAUAC
This 301-nucleotide ribosomal RNA is filed under the name uncultured bacterium. RNAcentral describes it as "partial 16S ribosomal RNA". It matches the Rfam family "Bacterial small subunit ribosomal RNA", at positions 509 to 807 of the family's 1533-position model. The record is from RNAcentral.